AUGGUUACUACACCUUUACCACAAUAAAACCAUGGUUAAUGUUCGUAAGGGGACAUACCUAUAAGUCCAACGUGUGCACAUUUGGAGAAAUACUUACACAUUUUACUUCUUAUUUCUUUAGACUGAAUAAUUAUUUAUCUUCCAAUUCCAAAGUAUGCGACCUGGGGCCUGUUGCACAAAAGUAGAAUUAAGACAUCCAGGAUAAAUGACUGAGCUGAGCUCAAUGAAGCCAAAACAAGUGCGUCCAGGCUCAAUUGGUUGCACAAAGACCAAGUCAGGAUGAUCAGACACGGAUUCAUCAAUCCAGGUGAAACCAAUCCUGGAUAGGUGCGCGCUCACGGAUCACUCAACUAGACCCCGCCACCGAUCACAGAUUCACCAUGGCCACUAGAGCGGCAUUCUUUUCCCUGUCAGAGGCGCAAAUCCAUACGAGGAGGUAAAAGACAUAAUUAAGAAGAAAGGCAACACCGCCACAGUGAUAAAGCAAAGAGAUAAAGCGUGGCAAAGUAUUGCAGACCGCCUGAAUGCAUUAAAUAUGACCGGGCCAAAAUGGACAUGGCAGCAGGUCAAAAUCAAAUACAAGAAGAUUCUGCAGAAUGCAGUGAAAAAGAAUACCCAGAGACAAGGCACGGGUGGUGGGUCACCAAAAGCUGACCUCACCCCAGCAGAGGCCAGCUUUGGAGCUAAAUGGCAGGCCUGUUGGAGGGGAUCCCUGGGGGAAAAGAGACAAGCAUAGGUCCCUCCCAAGAUGCCACCCGCUUCAUACAAGAUAUGUUCUUCCAUCUCUACAUGGGACACAAUCACAUUCAUAUUGAAUCUAUUUGAACUGUCUGACUUUGGUUUGCCUAUUGCCUUGCAGUGUCUGGCAGCACUGUGUUACUGUUAAAGCCAACAGCACGAGCACCAGACGAUGCUGAUCCAGUGAGUACUCAAUCAAAGGCAUACUGUAGGCCUGGCAUGUCUUGUCUACUAGCUUCAAUAUGAAUCAGAUUAAAUGUGAUAGGGUCAAGGCCCCAUUUCAUCAGCACAUAACGGCGAUGAUGAUGAGGAGACCAUCUCUCUGGAUUCCAGAAGACAUAAGGACCCUGUGUCAUUGGUGCACUGGACUGCACACACAUAAGGAUAAAAGCCCCCUCAGGUGCCCAUGAGGCAGAUUUUGUAAAUAUGAAAUCUUUUCACAGCAUUAAUGUUCAGGUGAACAUAACUUUUUGAUCUUUUCCAUUGAACACUGGCAAAAUGGCCUGCCUCAGUCCAUGACUGCAGAAUCUUUCGGACCUCUGAAAUCUAUCAGCGCCUAUCAUAAGGUGAAUUCUCUGGUUUGUUGCUGGGAGACCGGGGGUAUGGCUGCCAGCCUUUUUCCUGACACCUUUCACAGACCCUCAGGAAGCACAGCAGGCCUACAACUAUGCCCAUGCCAGGACCAGGCCCAGAGUUGAAAUGACCUUUGGCCUCCUGAAGGCACGCUCUCACUGCCUUCACAAAUUAAGGGUCAGCCCUGUGAGGGCAUGUGACAUUACUGAGAGGGCAUUUGUCCUGCAUUUAUUUCAGUGUGCAGACAUGCAGGGUGUGUUAUAUACAGACCUUUGAAUGUGUAUUUAUCCUUUGGUUGUAUAAUAUGCUUUGAUUCUGUGCUUUCCAUCUUGUAGAGUCACUGUUUGACUUCAGUUUCGAAAGGAGCUGAUGGUUUACCUGCUUUGUUUUCUCCUUAUUCAAUAAAGAAACAUAAUGUUA
This is a non-coding RNA of Misgurnus anguillicaudatus (oriental weatherfish), 1731 nucleotides long. The record is from RefSeq and is a predicted model, not a curated record. Lineage: Eukaryota; Metazoa; Chordata; Actinopteri; Cypriniformes; Cobitidae.